GACGAACGCUGGCGGCGUGCUUAACACAUGCAAGUCGAACGGAAAGGCCCUGCUUUUGUGGGGUGCUCGAGUGGCGAACGGGUGAGUAACACGUGAGUAACCUGCCCUUGACUUUGGGAUAACUUCAGGAAACUGGGGCUAAUACCGGAUAGGAGCUCCUGCUGCAUGGUGGGGGUUGGAAAGUUUCGGCGGUUGGGGAUGGACUCGCGGCUUAUCAGCUUGUUGGUGGGGUAGUGGCUUACCAAGGCUUUGACGGGUAGCCGGCCUGAGAGGGUGACCGGCGACAUUGGGACUGAGAUACGGACCAGACGCGUACGGGAGGCAGCAGUGGGGAAUAUUGCACAAUGGGAGGAAGCCUGAUGCAGAAACGCCGCGUGCGGGAUGACGGCCUUCGGGUUGUAAACCGCUUUCGCCUGUGACGAAGCGUGAGUGACGAUAAUGGGUAAAGAAGCACCGGCUAACUACGUG
RNAcentral lists this ribosomal RNA (468 nucleotides) under uncultured bacterium. RNAcentral's name for it is "partial 16S ribosomal RNA". It matches the Rfam family "Bacterial small subunit ribosomal RNA", at positions 28 to 507 of the family's 1533-position model. The record is from RNAcentral.